AUUCAGAUGACGAGUCGCAAGUAGGACGAAAUGAGUAUCCUGGAU
Trichobilharzia regenti is the source of this 45-nucleotide non-coding RNA. The record is from Rfam. NCBI's taxonomy places the organism in Eukaryota, Metazoa, Platyhelminthes, Trematoda, Strigeidida, Schistosomatidae.